This 287-nucleotide long non-coding RNA is filed under the name Mytilus galloprovincialis (Mediterranean mussel). The record is from RNAcentral. Lineage: Eukaryota; Metazoa; Mollusca; Bivalvia; Mytilida; Mytilidae.
GUUCUCAAUAAUGGCUAAAAAAUGCCAAAUUUCUAAUGCCCGUUUCAAUCCCGACUUCCGAAUGUCUAAAAACAUUCUAGAACUUCACAAAAUCCCACUUCCGGCCUCCAUUGCUUUGUGUACAUUCCAUUCAGCGUCAUCAAUCUUGUGGCAGGCAAUACAGGUCAAGCAAAUCGUAUUUUUAGGAAUUUUAAAAUGACAUGCUCCUUACGUCUUUCGCGAUUUUCCCGCGAAAAAAGCCCAACCAAAAUGAAAGGAAAACUAAUUGAAAAAACAAUGCCCAUGCC